Molecule: ribosomal RNA, 330 nt
Filed under: uncultured Wolbachia sp.
Lineage: Bacteria; Pseudomonadati; Pseudomonadota; Alphaproteobacteria; Rickettsiales; Anaplasmataceae
Description: bacterial SSU rRNA
Rfam family: Bacterial small subunit ribosomal RNA
Source: RNAcentral
UCCCGCAACGAGCGCAACCCUCAUCCUUAGUUGCUAUCAGGUAAUGCUGAGUACUUUAAGGAAACUGCCAGUGAUAAGCUGGAGGAAGGUGGGGAUGAUGUCAAGUCAUCAUGGCCUUUAUGGAGUGGGCUACACACGUGCUACAAUGGUGUCUACAAUGGGUUGCAAGGUGCGCAAGCCUAAGCUAAUCCCUAAAAGACAUCUCAGUUCGGAUUGUACUCUGCAACUCGAGUACAUGAAGUUGGAAUCGCUAGUAAUCGUGGAUCAGCAUGCCACGGUGAAUACGUUCUCGGGUCUUGUACACACUGCCCGUCACGCCAUGGGAAUUGG